GGUUCCAUAGUGUAGUGGUUAGCACAUCUGCUUUACAUGCAAAAGGUCCUGGAUUCAUGUCCCAGUGGAGCCA
Molecule: transfer RNA, 73 nt
Filed under: Pteropus alecto (black flying fox)
Lineage: Eukaryota; Metazoa; Chordata; Mammalia; Chiroptera; Pteropodidae
Rfam family: tRNA
About the family: Transfer RNA (tRNA) molecules are approximately 80 nucleotides in length. Their secondary structure includes four short double-helical elements and three loops (D, anti-codon, and T loops). Further hydrogen bonds mediate the characteristic L-shaped molecular structure. tRNAs have two regions of fundamental functional importance: the anti-codon, which is responsible for specific mRNA codon recognition, and the 3' end, to which the tRNAs corresponding amino acid is attached (by aminoacyl-tRNA synthetases). tRNAs cope with the degeneracy of the genetic code in two manners: having more than one tRNA (with a specific anti-codon) for a particular amino acid; and 'wobble' base-pairing, i.e. permitting non-standard base-pairing at the 3rd anti-codon position.
Source: Rfam by way of RNAcentral